GAAAUGCGAGAAGUAGUGUGAAUUGCAGAAUUCAGUGAAUCAUCGAAUCUUUGAACGCACAUUGCGCCCCUUGGUAUUCCAUGGGGCAUGCCUGUUCGAGCGUCAUUUGUACCCUCAAGCUCUGCUUGGUGUUGGGUGUUUGUCCCCGUCUCCGCGCGUGGACUCGCCCCAAAGUGAUUGGCAGCCGGCGUACUGGUCCCGGAGCGCAGCACAUGUCGCGCAAACGAGUGCCUUGGUACGGCGGCGUCCAUAAGCCCCUCUCUCACGCUCUUGACCUCGGAUCAGGUAGGGAUACCCGCUGAACUUAAGC
This 310-nucleotide unclassified non-coding RNA is filed under the name plant metagenome. RNAcentral's name for it is "partial contains 5.8S ribosomal RNA, internal transcribed spacer 2, and large subunit ribosomal RNA". The stretch from base 1 to 105 matches the Rfam family "5.8S ribosomal RNA", at positions 50 to 154 of the family's 154-position model. The record is from RNAcentral.